AACCUUAUGGACCUGCGGGCGUAUACCUGCGGAAGGAUCAUUACCGAGUUUACAACUCCCAAACCCCUGUGAACAUACCUAUACGUUGCCUCGGCGGAUCAGCCCGCGCCCUGUAAAACGGGACGGCCCGCCCGAGGACCCUAAACUCUGUUUUUAGUGGAACUUCUGAGUAAAACAAACAAAUAAAUCAAAACUUUCAACAACGGAUCU
This 210-nucleotide unclassified non-coding RNA is filed under the name soil metagenome. RNAcentral describes it as "partial contains 5.8S ribosomal RNA, internal transcribed spacer 2, and large subunit ribosomal RNA". The record is from RNAcentral.